This 253-nucleotide ribosomal RNA is filed under the name uncultured bacterium. RNAcentral's name for it is "partial 16S ribosomal RNA". It matches the Rfam family "Bacterial small subunit ribosomal RNA", at positions 524 to 776 of the family's 1533-position model. The record is from RNAcentral.
UACUGAAGGUGCAAGCGUUAAUCGGAAUUACUGGGCGUAAAGCGCGCGUAGGCGGUUACUUAAGUCAGAUGUGAAAGCCCCGGGCUCAACCUGGGAACUGCAUUUGAUACUGGGUGACUAGAGUAUGUUAGAGGGAAGUGGAAUUCCGGGUGUAGCGGUGAAAUGCGUAGAUAUCCGGAGGAACACCAAUGGCGAAGGCAACUUCCUGGGACAAUACUGACGCUGAGGUGCGAAAGCGUGGGGAGCAAACGGG